This 448-nucleotide ribosomal RNA is filed under the name Pseudomonas sp. R-46026. RNAcentral describes it as "bacterial SSU rRNA". It matches the Rfam family "Bacterial small subunit ribosomal RNA", at positions 20 to 471 of the family's 1533-position model. The record is from RNAcentral. Lineage: Bacteria; Pseudomonadati; Pseudomonadota; Gammaproteobacteria; Pseudomonadales; Pseudomonadaceae.
UGGCUCAGAUUGAACGCUGGCGGCAGGCCUAACACAUGCAAGUCGAGCGGAUGAGAGGAGCUUGCUCCUGGAUUCAGCGGCGGACGGGUGAGUAAUGCCUAGGAAUCUGCCUGGUAGUGGGGGACAACGUUUCGAAAGGAACGCUAAUACCGCAUACGUCCUACGGGAGAAAGCAGGGGACCUUCGGGCCUUGCGCUAUCAGAUGAGCCUAGGUCGGAUUAGCUAGUUGGUGAGGUAAUGGCUCACCAAGGCGACGAUCCGUAACUGGUCUGAGAGGAUGAUCAGUCACACUGGAACUGAGACACGGUCCAGACUCCUACGGGAGGCAGCAGUGGGGAAUAUUGGACAAUGGGCGAAAGCCUGAUCCAGCCAUGCCGCGUGUGUGAAGAAGGUCUUCGGAUUGUAAAGCACUUUAAGUUGGGAGGAAGGGCAGUAAAUUAAUACUUUG